CGGGCGGGCGGCUUGUUGAUAAUAUGGCGGCAGGAGCUGCCUGGGCUUCUCGAGGAGGUGGUGGGGCCCACACCCGGAAGAAGGGUUUCUUUUCAGGCUAGUGCGGCGGCCGCUGCGGACCCGGAAGUCCGGGCCGGUUGCUGAAUGAGGGGAGCCGGGCCCUCCCCGCGACAGUCCCCCCGCGCCCUCCGCCCCGACCCGGGCCCCGCCAUGUCCUUCUUCCGGCGGAAAGUGAAAGGCAAAGAACAAGAGAAGACCUCAGAUGUCAAGUCAAUUAAAGCUUCAGUAUCUGUACAUUCCCCACAAAAAAGCACUAAAAAUCAUGCCUUGCUGGAGGCAGCAGGACCAAGUCAUGUUGCAAUCAAUGCCAUUUCUGCCAACAUGGACUCCUUUUCAAGUAGCAGGACAGCAACACUUAAGAAGCAGCCAAGCCACAUGGAGGCUGCUCAUUUUGGUGACCUGGGCAGAUCUUGUCUGGACUACCAGACUCAAGAGACCAAAUCAAGUCUUUCAAAGACCCUUGAACAAGUCUUGCGCGACACUGUUGUCCUCCCUUAUUUCAUUCAAUUCAUGGAACUUCGGAGAAUGGAGCAUUUGGUUAAAUUUUGGUUAGAAGCUGAAAGUUUUCACUCUACAACUUGGUCCCGAAUAAGAGCACACAGUCUGAACACCGUGAAGCAGAGCUCAUUGGCUGAGCCUGUCUCUCCAUCUAAAAAGCAUGAAACUGCAACAUCUUUUGUAACUGAGUCUCUUGACAAGAGAUUGGAGGAUUCUAGCUCAGCCCAACUGCUUAUGACUCAAUCAGAAGGAAUUGACCUGAACAAUAGAACUAGCAACAUUCAGAAUCACUUGCUGCUUUCCCGGGAAUGUGACAGUGCCCAUUUUCUCCAUCUUGAAAUGGCCAGAACAGGAACGCAUCAAGUUUCCAUGGAAACCCAAGAAUCCUCCUCCAGACUUCUAGUAGCCGGUAGAAAUAGUCCCUCUUCACCACUAAAGGAAUUAUCAGGAAAAUUAAUGAAAAGUAUAGAACAAGAUGCAGUGAAUACUUUUACCAAAUAUAUAUCUCCAGAUGCUGCUAAACCAAUACCAAUUACAGAAGCAAUGAGAAAUGACAUCAUAGCAAAGAUUUGUGGAGAAGAUGGACAGGUGGAUCCCAACUGUUUUGUCUUGGCACAGUCCGUAGUCUUCAGUGCAAUGGAGCAAGAGCACUUUAGUGAGUUUCUGCGAAGUCACCAUUUCUGUAAAUACCAGAUUGAAGUGCUGACCAGUGGAACUGUUUACCUGGCUGACAUUCUCUUCUGUGAGUCAGCCCUCUUUUAUUUCUCUGAGUACAUGGAAAAAGAGGAUGCAGUGAAUAUCUUACAGUUCUGGUUGGCAGCAGAUAACUUCCAGUCUCAGCUUGCUGCCAAAAAGGGCCAGUAUGAUGGACAGGAGGCACAGAACGAUGCCAUGAUUUUAUAUGACAAGUACUUCUCCCUCCAAGCCACACAUCCUCUUGGAUUUGAUGAUGUUGUACGAUUAGAAAUUGAGUCCAAUAUCUGCAGGGAAGGUGGGCCACUCCCUAACUGUUUCACAACUCCAUUACGUCAGGCCUGGACAACCAUGGAGAAGGUCUUUUUGCCUGGUUUCUUGUCCAGCAAUCUUUAUUAUAAGUAUUUGAAUGAUCUCAUCCAUUCGGUUCGAGGGGAUGAGUUUCUGGGAGGAAAUGUGUCACUGACGGCUCACGGCUCCCUCGGUCCUCCUGAUGACUCUCACCCAGGUGGUUCCGACAGCUCGGCUUCUCAGUCCAGUAUGAAAAAAGCCAGUGUUAAAAUUCUGAAAAAUUUUGACGAAGCGAUAAUUGUGGAUGCUGCGAGUCUGGAUCCAGAAUCUCUGUAUCAGCGGACGUACGCCGGGAAGAUGACAUUUGGAAGAGUAAGUGACUUGGGGCAAUUCAUCCGAGAAUCUGAGCCUGAACCUGAUGUAAAGAAAUCAAAAGGAUCCAUGUUCUCACAAGCUAUGAAGAAAUGGGUGCAAGGAAAUACUGACGAGGCCCAAGAAGAGCUAGCUUGGAAGAUUGCUAAAAUGAUAGUCAGUGAUGUUAUGCAACAGGCACAAUAUGAUCAACCUUUAGAGAAGUCUACAAAGCUAUGACUCAAGACCUGAGAUAAAGGAAAUCUGCUUUUGAAAAAUAAGAGAACUAUUUUCCUUUGGUUGGAUUCUUCAACACAGCCAAUGAAAACAAAGCACUGUAUUUCUUUUCUCUGAUUAUCACUGUUGUUCCCAAGAAAGAAUGGCAGACAAUCCUAGACUUCCAUCAUAAGCAGAGUGACAUGUGUGACAUGUAGACAUAAUUGCUGCACGUGAUGUUCACACAGUGAAAGUCAUAAAGAGACAAAGUGGUAUUGUUUACAUUACUAGAAAAUUAAUAGCUUUCCAAUGGCAAUAACCCAUUUAUGAAAGAGUUUUAGUCCACUGGAAUAGACAGGGACCACAUACUGUGGGAGCAGAUAAGCGUAGAGCUGAUGUUUGAUGCACAUUCUGCAGCGGUGGCCCGUCCCUACAAGAACCCUGAAGCAGGUACCGGAAGUGCUUUGCUUGGCCUCCUAAACAAACAGGCUCUGUGCGGUGCGCCCACAAAAUACGAUGCCUCGGCAGGACUUUCACAGGCUCGAGGAAUCCAUUAAACAUCCAUCUUUAUCAUGUUCUUGACGUCGUGUUAGAAACUGUUAGAAAAGAUGUUCGUGCAAAAGGGGGACCUUUUGUAACUUGCCAUGUCUUCAUGUCAGCCCAGUCCAGCAAAGAGCAAUAAAACAGGGAGCAACUUUUUGUAACCAUUUCAACUUGGGUUUCAGUAUUCAGUAUAGCUUUAUGAAAUGUAGUCAUGUGCAUUUCUGGAGCUGUGAUGAGUUCAGUAGGAAUUUGGAGGGGAAGGUCACUCUGAAUUGUAGCCAGUUACAGACUUCUUUGUUGUUUUAAGUACCAGUAGCUAAGCAGCUGCUGAAGCAGCUGACCUCUCUCUCUCUCUCUCCUGACACUGUUUGGGGGUACCCGCCUGACUCACAGUGACCCUGCUUUCUUGCCUGCAGGAGAGGGGACCACGCCUGUGUACCCAGUGACCUUUCCCUCUUCUCCCCUCCCCCACACACCAGUUGAUGAGACCAGAUGAUCAAACUUCUGAUCCAAACAGGCCCAAGACAGUUCUUUUUCUUAAGAAUUUUGCAAGGGGAAGGAGAGGGACCCUCUUGGUUUGCAGCUUGUGUGGAGCCCUUGGAAAGUCAGGACCCAUGGGCCGCACUACAUGGACAAGCAGAGAGGUUUAGAAGUAGAAAUAGAGGAACAGGAGUGCGAGCAAGUCAGAUCAGCUACUUACUUCAUGGGUUUCUGGAUCUGGUUCUCUAUCCUUCUGUGGACUCUGUUCAUCCCUCAGGUAUCCUUAGAAUGCAUCUUAGGUUUUCAAAAAUCAGUCUAAAGUGACUUUUUAUUACCUGCAACCAAAAGGACCUUGACUAAAGUACUACCAGACUGUUCUAAUCAACUCCUGAUCAUGCAUCCUCAGCGUGUUUGCAAAAUACCCCUACAUUCGGGAGAAUUUUUCUUUAGUAAACCUUUGGUCAUUUUGUGAAUUCUCUCAAAAUGGAAUCCUCAACUCAUGGAGCUAAAAGACACUCCCUCAUUUUUAUAGGGAAGAGUUACUCAGGCACAGGUCCUUAGCCUACUGUGGGAUAGUCACGGUUAGAACUCAGGCCUUCUGGACCAGGACCUUUUCAUGCUUCCCAACAUCCUUCUAAAGGAUAAGCACCAUCCCCACUUUUAGCAACUGUAAUAAACCCAGAAAUAGAGGGCAUUUCUACCAAUGGGGGCCGUGAUUAUUACAAAACAGGUACAUGCUGACCAUUUAUAUGGACUAGGCAAGAUGUCUGGCCUUUGGCUGAACCAUAAGCAGGAGUAAAUCCCAGCGAAACCCUCCAGGUUCCAACUUAGGAGACCCAUGCUAAUACUUACCUUAUGAGGCCCCUUACAGAUAAGCACUGUGGGCACUUGAGGCCUGCCGGGCCAGGGUUGGGAAUGGCUGGGAGUAAAAACUGUGGUACUGUAGGGGUUUGGGACAGGGGGAAAUGGCCACGGCAUGGCGAGUGUUGGAAGGAUCCGUAUGAGCAAAAGCCUAGAGGACAUUCCUGCUCAGGGAGGAGGAAGUUAUCUGCUUGCCUGUCACAGGGGGUAGUGAGUAUUUCUGCCUUAGUAACUUUAUGCAACCAAAUAUUUCCUCAGCCUGUGCCCCUCAAACCGCCUGCUCUGGUACAAUGAGGGUGUCCGAACUCACCUGGAAUGAUUAAGCCCCUUGCCCAGGGGUGGUGGUGCCCCUCCCCCAGGCACCGCUGAGGCACUGACACCACGGCUGCUGAGCUGGACCCCGUAUUCGUGAGCACAGGCUGGGGCAGCUGGGCCCUCUGGGCCUGUGGUGGGCAGGCAGGGUGCCUAGAAAAAGCGGGCUCAAGUUUAGCUCAGAGGGACCUGGGAAUUGCCAAGGAGCAAAUAGGAUUUUGGGGACUGGCAUUUCCCGACUUCAGGUAUCUGAGUCCCCCAUCUUGAAUGUGCCUUCAGGCUCACCCCUAAAAGAUCCCCGGCUGGCCUGUCGCCGUGAGAGCCCUGCCCACCAUGCGCGUCGUGGAAAGGCCCCAGCUAAACACCGCCGUGGGCCUCCACGCGGUGCGGAGCUCUGAGCGGCGGGCCCGGCCUGGCGUGCUCACCAGAACCCAGUGGGCUCCACCCAGACCUUCGGUCUCCUCCUCUUGACAGAGCAACCUUCUCUUCCUUCUAAUGACAGAGCCACUGGUUUAGCAAAUGUUUGCCGUUUCCGAAGUAUUUGUAACGCCUGCGAGGGCCGGGCUCCUUUUACAGUGCAGGGACACGGGAAAUAAACUUCUGGGCCACCCGGAGCUCCCAUUCUGCUGAGGAGGGGAUACGCGUCGGACGCUCCCUCUAUAAUUGCUGGUGUUUCUUGACUCAAGGUAGCCUUUUGAGCCGAUGAUUGAACACCCUUUCCUUACAGAGACCUGCAGGGGGUCACUAGGCUUUCCUGACCCAUAAAGGAGACCCACAGGGUAGAAGGGGCCUAAGAAGGGCUCGCUCUUCCGAGAGCACCCGCCCCUUGAGGACUGGCCGCCACGCCAUUCUUCCAUUUACUCCCUGCAAGACUAGAACAUUCGGGUGUUGAACACCUGGUUGACGAGGGGCAGCACCUUGAUGUCUGAGGCCAUCAAGCAAAUCUCUCUGAGUGAGGUAGGCUAAGAAGAGGCCAAAGGAUCCGUCUGAGCCCCCUGGGGCUCCCUGCAGAGCUUUGGGGAAUGUGAAUUCUUAGAAACCAGAAACGAGAAGGCUAGCAGUGUAAAGUUACCCACGCGUGAGGCAAAAUCCCGGCCUUGGAAGAGCUGGGCUAGCCAUUGAGCUGAUUCCGUGAGGUGAUGGGCUCUUUUCUGAGUUCUCCUUUCAUGAUAAUGACAAUAAGCAACAGAACUGAGUACUUAUCACUGUGCACUGGAAGGUAAGUACCUGCUCUCCCCUCGUAUGAGGGAGGCUGAGGCUUCAGAGGCCACGGAGGCCGAUCCAGGCAGUGAACCUGCCCUCUUCCCCACCUCUCUGCCCUGUCAUAAAUCGCCCUCGGCUCUUCUCACAUUGUGCUGCUUGUGGGUACUCGCUAAAGACUGGUCCAGCAGAUGCGGGAGCUUUCCGGAAAGGGGGGACUGUGGCUUUAAAACAUUCCAUCCAUCCCUUGCUCUAAAGCAGUGGUUCGUAAACUUCCACGUGCAUCAGGAUCCCCUGGAGAACUUGUUAAACCAUGCAUUUCUGGGCCUAACCUCGUUUCUGGUUUAGUCGGUCUGGGGUAAGGGCUGAGAAUUUGCCUUUUUAACACAUCUCCGGGUGAUGUUCUUGCAGCUCCGGAGACCAGACUUUUCAAGAAUCACUGCCUUCAAAUCGUUCCUAUAAAUUGGGAACUGAAUAUUUUCAUUCCCUUUUAUCGGAAAUGCCCGUGCUACACAGAAAUGGAAUUUGAGGCUUAUUACUCGUGAGUCACCCAAACAAGCACAUAUAUCCUUUAUUAGUAUUCCGAUGUUAAUGCCAGGAACACCCAAACACCACCCCACUGUCUCAGUCACUGAGCAGGUCUGAGACCAUCGAGGCAAGUGUCUCCCCCUGGGGUACGGCUUAGAAGAAGCCACGGUCUAGUCUCAGCCCCACGGGCUCCCUCCCCUCUUGUCCCCCUCCCCGUGCCCUGUGCCUUUGCCAGGGACAGUGCACCUGAUAUGUUCCUCCAGGGCUGAGACUUGGGCUGUUGGGAUCACACCCAAGGCCCCAGUGGAAUCUUCGGUGCAAUCCCUGUCUGGUCCAUUUCCUUCCAUUGUGUCACCCAGCUCCUUGAUGCCAGCUGCCCUCUGAGGUCUGGACUAUGCCGUUCUUGACCUGUCUCCCUUGCUGUCCUCCUUUUCCAGUCCCUCCCAUAGGACAGUGGUAACUUGUUCUUCCUUUCUGCCCCGCUUCAUCUCCCUCCUCCCCGUUUCUUUCUUCAGCACGUAUUUCCUGGGGACUUAUAUGGCUCUUCUAGUUACUGGGGGUACAGCAGUCCCCAGAACACACAUAGUGCGCGCCCUCCUUGCAGUCUAGAAAACAGUGACGAUUCAUGCAAUGAGUGUUACGGGAGAGCACGAAGAACCUGUUGGGGGCAGUCUGGGUGGACCCCUCUGUGUGAGUCACAGAUUUCCUGAUCAUCUCAGUCUUCCUCCAGAGCGUGUCUAUUCCACAUGGAUCUCUUUCCUCAAAAUACCCUUUCUUCCUGGCCCGACACUCCUCCCCACCCUUCCCCCCUCACAACUGGACCAGGACUUCAAAUUGGCAUAUUGGCAUGACUGCCCACUGCUGGCCGACGCUCUUUCCAUAUCCUUGUUCCACAUCCUCCAUUGCUACGUGGGGCGACUGUCCUCAUCUCUGCCCGCUGCCCGGCUCCCGGACGCUACCAGCUAUCUUUCUCACUCCUUCAUUCCCACCCCCAAGACACUUCACUGUCCAUGAUGAUAACGAUCUACCCAGCAACCCACCUUAGAACUCUUUGCCCUUUUUCGUUCUCAAGACUGUAUUUCGCUUCAGUCACACCCGUAACUAGGUCUUGUCAUCUCCUGCAACUGCUCUACCUCCGGUCUCCGCUCACAUUUUAGCCCACCAUACAACCGACCCAUGCAAGAACCAUUAUAGGCUCCUUCUACUGGGAUGGGUGAAAAGAGGGGUGGGAAGAAACUUCGUAAUUAUUCUGGGGGCAUGCCCUCACUAUUGCAAGAGUUAGGUUUUGUAAACCAGCCUUUCAAAGAGCAACUUCAAAAGCAAUAAGUGCACACUUUUGUUUGUAAGGAUUAUAAACUUUCGCCUACGUGAUAAGUUGGGGAUGGAGGGAGAACAGUCCUAAUGGGGUGACUUGGAUCAAACUUUCCAAUGGCAGUAUCAGACAAGUAUCUUAAAAUGCUGCAUCUCAGACAACUUAGAUGCAAUUGAAGGAUAUAUACUUGAAGAAAGUGGCUCUGGAUAUGAUGAAGACAUCGAUGUCUAAGAUGCAUGUAGAGGCUUUGAAUAAAAUUGUUACUUGACAUGUAAGAAUGGGGGGAAAGCAAUAUUUUGUACUGACGUAUUAUUGUAUAUAAUGUUAUUUUAAAUAUGCAUGUGUAACAAAAUAAAUUAGAUAUUAUAAUUCGA
Molecule: RNA transcript, 7719 nt
Organism: Ailuropoda melanoleuca (giant panda)
Lineage: Eukaryota; Metazoa; Chordata; Mammalia; Carnivora; Ursidae
Gene: AKAP10
Gene name: A-kinase anchoring protein 10
Exons: 16
Source: RefSeq, a predicted model, not a curated record